This 263-nucleotide ribosomal RNA is filed under the name uncultured archaeon. RNAcentral describes it as "partial 16S ribosomal RNA". It matches the Rfam family "Archaeal small subunit ribosomal RNA", at positions 716 to 982 of the family's 1478-position model. The record is from RNAcentral.
ACGUCUACAUUAGAUACCCCUGUAGUCCCAGCCGUAAACUAUGCGCGUUAGGUGUAUCGGUGACCACGAGUUACCGAGGUGCCGAAGGGAAACCGUGAAACGUGCCGCCUGGGAAGUACGGUCGCAAGGCUGAAACUUAAAGGAAUUGGCGGGGGAGCACCACAACAGGUGGAGCCUGCGGUUUAAUUGGACUCAACGCCGGGAAGCUCACCGGAUAGGACAGCAGAAUGAUUGCCGGGCUGAAGACCCUGCAUGACUAGCUG